This 253-nucleotide ribosomal RNA is filed under the name uncultured bacterium. RNAcentral describes it as "partial 16S ribosomal RNA". It matches the Rfam family "Bacterial small subunit ribosomal RNA", at positions 524 to 776 of the family's 1533-position model. The record is from RNAcentral.
UACGUAGGGUGCGAGCGUUGUCCGGAAUUAUUGGGCGUAAAGCGCACGUAGGCGGCAUCGCAAGUCGGAUGUGAAAUCUUAUGGCUUAACCAUAAAAGUGCAUCCGAAACUGCAGUGCUUGAGUACUUAAGAGGAUCGCGGAAUUCCCGGUGUAGAGGUGAAAUUCGUAGAUAUCGGGAGGAACACCAGUGGCGAAGGCGGCGAUCUGGGAAGAUACUGACGCUGAGGUGCGAAAGCGUGGGGAGCAAACAGG